Molecule: transfer RNA, 67 nt
Filed under: Enterococcus faecalis
Lineage: Bacteria; Bacillati; Bacillota; Bacilli; Lactobacillales; Enterococcaceae
Description: tRNA-Gln
Rfam family: tRNA
About the family: Transfer RNA (tRNA) molecules are approximately 80 nucleotides in length. Their secondary structure includes four short double-helical elements and three loops (D, anti-codon, and T loops).
Source: RNAcentral
CUAGCCAAGUCAGGUCCAAGGCACUGGGUUUUGAUCCCAGCAUUCACAGGUUCGAAUCCUGUGGUAG